AUUGAACGCUGGCGGAAUGCUUUACACAUGCAAGUCGAACGGUAACAGGUUAAGCUGACGAGUGGCGAACGGGUGAGUAAUACAUCGGAACGUGCCCAGUCGUGGGGGAUAACGUAGAGAAAUUUACGCUAAUACCGCAUACGAUCUAAGGAUGAAAGCGGGGGACCGUAAGGCCUCGCGCGAUUGGAUCGGCCGAUGUCAGAUUAGGUAGUUGGUGGGGUAAAGGCCUACCAAGCCGACGAUCUGUAGCUGGUCGGAGAGGACGACCAGCCACACUGGGACUGAGACACGGCCCAGACUCCUACGGGAGGCAGCAGUGGGGAAUUUUGGACAAUGGGCGCAAGCCUGAUCCAGCCAUUCCGCGUGCAGGAUGAAGGCCCUCGGGUUGUAAACUGCUUUUGUACAGAACGAAAAGGUCUGGGUUAAUACCCUGGGCUCAUGACGGUACUGUAAGAAUAAGCACCGGCUAACUACGUGCCAGCAGCCGCCGUAA
Molecule: ribosomal RNA, 493 nt
Filed under: uncultured bacterium
Lineage: Bacteria
Description: partial 16S ribosomal RNA
Rfam family: Bacterial small subunit ribosomal RNA
Source: RNAcentral